This 431-nucleotide ribosomal RNA is filed under the name uncultured bacterium. RNAcentral's name for it is "partial 16S ribosomal RNA". It matches the Rfam family "Bacterial small subunit ribosomal RNA", at positions 29 to 507 of the family's 1533-position model. The record is from RNAcentral.
AACGAACGCUGGCGGCAGGCUUAACACAUGCAAGUCGAGCGCCCCGCAAGGGGAGCGGCCGCCGGGUGAGUAACGCGUGGGAACGUACCUGUUGGUUCGGAACAACUCCGGGAAACUGGAGCUAAUACCGGAUAAGCCCUAACGGGGAAAGAUUUAUCGCCGAAAGAUCGGCCCGCGUCUGAUUAGCUAGUUGGUGAGGUAACGGCUCACCAAGGCGACGAUCAGUAGCUGGUCUGAGAGGAUGAUCAGCCACACUGGGACUGAGACACGGCCCAGACUCCUACGGGAGGCAGCAGUGGGGAAUAUUGGACAAUGGGCGCAAGCCUGAUCCAGCCAUGCCGCGUGAGUGAUGAAGGCCUUAGGGUUGUAAAGCUCUUUUGUCCGGGAAGAUAAUGACUGUACCGGAAGAAUAAGCCCCGGCUAACUUCGUG